Molecule: transfer RNA, 73 nt
Filed under: Felis catus (domestic cat)
Lineage: Eukaryota; Metazoa; Chordata; Mammalia; Carnivora; Felidae
Also listed under: 6 other names
Rfam family: tRNA
About the family: Transfer RNA (tRNA) molecules are approximately 80 nucleotides in length.
Source: Rfam by way of RNAcentral
ACCUGGCUAGCUCAGUUGGUAGAGCAUGUGACUCUCAAUCUUAGUGCUGAGAGUUCAAGCCCCAUGUUGGGAA